ACAACGCUGGCGGCGUGCCUAAUACAUGCAAGUCGAGCGAACAGAUAAGGAGCUUGCUCCUUUGACGUUAGCGGCGGACGGGUGAGUAACACGUGGGUAACCUACCUAUAAGACUGGAAUAACUCCGGGAAACCGGGGCUAAUGCCGGAUAACAUUUAGAACCGCAUGGUUCUAAAGUGAAAGAUGGUUUUGCUAUCACUUAUAGAUGGACCCGCGCCGUAUUAGCUAGUUGGUAAGGUAAUGGCUUACCAAGGCAACGAUACGUAGCCGACCUGAGAGGGUGAUCGGCCACACUGGAA
Molecule: ribosomal RNA, 299 nt
Filed under: Staphylococcus sp. MI-19
Lineage: Bacteria; Bacillati; Bacillota; Bacilli; Caryophanales; Staphylococcaceae
Description: partial 16S ribosomal RNA
Rfam family: Bacterial small subunit ribosomal RNA
Source: RNAcentral